UACGUAGGGGGCAAGCGUUUGUCCGGAUUUAUUGGGCGUAAAGAGCGUGUAGGCGGCCUGGUAGGUCAGCUGUGAAAACUCGAGGCUCAACCUCGAGACGUCGGUUGAAACCACCUGGCUAGAGUCCGGAAGAGGAGAGUGGAAUUCCCGGUGAUAGCGGUGAAAUGCGCAGAUAUCGAAGGAGGAACCGAGCCGGUAGGGCGAAGCCGG
RNAcentral lists this ribosomal RNA (210 nucleotides) under uncultured bacterium. RNAcentral describes it as "partial 16S ribosomal RNA". It matches the Rfam family "Bacterial small subunit ribosomal RNA", at positions 524 to 724 of the family's 1533-position model. The record is from RNAcentral.